RNAcentral lists this long non-coding RNA (292 nucleotides) under Fragaria vesca (wild strawberry). RNAcentral describes it as "long non-coding RNA (FVES_LNC000954)". Lineage: Eukaryota; Viridiplantae; Streptophyta; Magnoliopsida; Rosales; Rosaceae. The record is from RNAcentral.
GCCCUCAAGGAGCCCGAGCGUGACCGCAAGAAGACCAAGAACAUCAAGCACACCGGCAACAUCAGCCUCGAUGACGUCAUUGAGAUCGCGAAGAUCAUGAAGAACAGGUCCAUGGCCAAGGACCUGAGCGGCACCGUCAAGGAGAUUCUCGGCACUUGCGUCUCGGUGGGGUGCACGGUUGACGGCAAGGACCCUAAGGAUCUGCAACAGGAGAUUUCCGAUGGCGAUGUGGAAGUCCCCCUCGACUGAGCUCUGUGAUGUUCGUUUUUUCCUCUCCAAGUGUUUUCGUGUA